AUUGAACGCUGGCGGCAUGCCUAACACAUGCAAGUCGAACGCGAAAGGGCUUCGGCCUGAGUAGAGUGGCGGACGGGUGAGUAAUGCGUGGGAAUCUGCCCUGCAGUGGGGGACAACCCGGGGAAACUCGGGCUAAUACCGCAUACGUCCUAAGGGAGAAAGGGGGCCUUCGGGCUCUCGCUGCAGGAUGAGCCCACGUCCGAUUAGCUAGUUGGUGAGGUAAAGGCCCACCAAGGCGAUGAUCGGUAGCCGGCCUGAGAGGGCGGACGGACACACUGGGACUGAGACACGGCCCAGACUCCUACGGGUGGCAG
This 314-nucleotide ribosomal RNA is filed under the name uncultured Pseudomonadota bacterium. Its description in RNAcentral is "bacterial SSU rRNA". It matches the Rfam family "Bacterial small subunit ribosomal RNA", at positions 28 to 351 of the family's 1533-position model. The record is from RNAcentral. Lineage: Bacteria; Pseudomonadati; Pseudomonadota.